UGUAAAAUGGUUACAAAUUUGAUGUUGUGGAUACUACUUAUAAACACUAAUACAAAUUAAAAAUUAAAAUAAAUAAUUGAAAUAAACAAAAAGUAAAACAAACAAAAUAGAGACAAAAGUAAAAUAAAAAUAAGAGCACACGGUAAUAUAAAAACUGCUUCCAACCAUUCGGAUUGUGAUACAAAUGGUGCGCACUUUGUUUGCUAUAAUAAAUUUCAUGUAAAAUUCUAUCACAUUGUUC
RNAcentral lists this long non-coding RNA (241 nucleotides) under Lathyrus oleraceus (garden pea). RNAcentral describes it as "Pisum sativum (pea) long non-coding RNA (PSAT_LNC007924)". Lineage: Eukaryota; Viridiplantae; Streptophyta; Magnoliopsida; Fabales; Fabaceae. The record is from RNAcentral.